Molecule: long non-coding RNA, 345 nt
Organism: Arabidopsis lyrata subsp. lyrata
Lineage: Eukaryota; Viridiplantae; Streptophyta; Magnoliopsida; Brassicales; Brassicaceae
Exons: 2
Source: RefSeq, a predicted model, not a curated record
UCUUAUAACAGACAAGAAAGGUAAGCCACAGAGUAAAACAAUGAAUGUAGUUUAUAAAGAAGUCUUUCAAAACCUUCACUAAAGACAGUCAUGGAAAGAAUCUAAAAGAGUUCCAAUUCGACUAGCAUCAAAACAAGGAAUUGAAAGGAUGAAGUAUACUCAGGACGUGUUUAAAGGGAUAAGAGUAUGAAAACCAUUCUUCUGCAUUUGAAGAAGCAACAGCAUUAGUUUUAAAGUUUUUCAUUUUUUGGUUUUUCUUUCAUUUAUUUACCAGACUCGAAUUUAGAUUAUAGAACUUUUUCUUCUUCUAAACAAAUGAAUGCCAUCACUCUGUUUAACUCAGUA